CAGGCCUAACACAUGCAAGUCGAGGGGUAGAAAUAGCUUGCUAUUUUGAGACCGGCGCACGGGUGCGUAACGCGUAUGCAAUCUGCCUUUUACAGGGGAAUAGCCCAGAGAAAUUUGGAUUAAUGCCCCAUACCACUGCAGGACGGCAUCGUCCAGCAGUUAAAGUCACAACGGUAAAAGAUGAGCAUGCGUCCCAUUAGCUAGUUGGUAAGGUAACGGCUUACCAAGGCGAUGAUGGGUAGGGGUCCUGAGAGGGAGAUCCCCCACACUGGUACUGAGACACGGACCAGACUCCUACGGGAGGCAGCAGUGAGGAAUAUUGGACAAUGGGCGCAAGCCUGAUCCAGCCAUGCCGCGUGCAGGAUGAAGCAUCUAUGGUGUGUAAACUGCUUUUAUACAGGGAAGAAAUCCCUGGGACGCGUCCCAGACUGACGGUACUGUAGGAAUAAGGACCGGCUAACUCCGUGCCAGCAGCCGCGGUAAU
RNAcentral lists this ribosomal RNA (484 nucleotides) under uncultured bacterium. Its description in RNAcentral is "bacterial SSU rRNA". It matches the Rfam family "Bacterial small subunit ribosomal RNA", at positions 43 to 524 of the family's 1533-position model. The record is from RNAcentral.